UACGUAGGUGGCAAGCGUUGUCCGGAAUUAUUGGGCGUAAAGCGCGCGCAGGCGGUCCUUUAAGUCUGAUGUGAAAGCCCACGGCUCAACCGUGGAGGGUCAUUGGAAACUGGGGGACUUGAGUGCAGGAGAGAAGAGUGGAAUUCCACGUGUAGCGGUGAAAUGCGUAGAGAUCCGGAGGAACCCCAGAGGCGAAGGCGGCGCCCUAGCUCGGUUCUGACGCUCAGACACGAAAGCAUUGGGAGCGAACGGG
RNAcentral lists this ribosomal RNA (253 nucleotides) under uncultured bacterium. Its description in RNAcentral is "partial 16S ribosomal RNA". It matches the Rfam family "Bacterial small subunit ribosomal RNA", at positions 524 to 776 of the family's 1533-position model. The record is from RNAcentral.